This 344-nucleotide unclassified non-coding RNA is filed under the name uncultured fungus. RNAcentral's name for it is "partial contains 5.8S ribosomal RNA and internal transcribed spacer 2". The stretch from base 1 to 134 matches the Rfam family "5.8S ribosomal RNA", at positions 22 to 154 of the family's 154-position model. Lineage: Eukaryota; Fungi. The record is from RNAcentral.
UGGUUCUGGCAUCGAUGAAGAACGCAGCGAAAUGCGAUAAGUAAUGCGAAUUGCAGAAUUCUAGUGAGUCAUCGAAUCUUUGAACGCACAUUGCGCCCUUUGGUAUUCCGAAGGGCAUGCCUGUUCGAGCGUCAUUAUCAACCCUCAAAUCCCCUCGGGGAAUUGGCCUUGGACGGUUGGUCGGGUACCCCCGACCCCUCCGAAAGAAAAUGACGGCGGCCUCGUGGGACCCCCGGUACACUGAGCUCCAUCUCUGGGCACGUAUCGGAUUGCGGGCCCCCGGGACCCCGUCUCUCACCUAUUAUCACAAGGUUGACCUCGGAUCAGGUAGGAAUACCCGCUGA